RNAcentral lists this ribosomal RNA (396 nucleotides) under uncultured bacterium. RNAcentral's name for it is "partial 16S ribosomal RNA". It matches the Rfam family "Bacterial small subunit ribosomal RNA", at positions 523 to 918 of the family's 1533-position model. The record is from RNAcentral.
AUACGUAGGUGGCAAGCGUUGUCCGGAAUUAUUGGGCGUAAAGCGCAUGUAGGCGGUAAUUUAAGUCUGUCGUGAAACUGCGGGGCUCAGCCCCGUAUGGCGAUGGAAACUGGGUUACUUGAGUGCAGGAGAGGAAAGGGGAACUCCCAGUGUAGCGGUGAAAUGCGUAGAUAUUGGGAAGAACACCGGUGGCGAAGGCGCCUUUCUGGACUGUGUCUGACGCUGAGAUGCGAAAGCCAGGGUAGCGAACGGGAUUAGAUACCCCGGUAGUCCUGGCCGUAAACGAUGGGUACUAGGUGUGGGAGGUAUCGACCCCUUCCGUGCCGGAGUUAACGCAAUAAGUCCCCCGCCUGGGGAGUACGGCCGCAAGGCUUAAACUCAAAUGAAUUGACGGGG